Molecule: ribosomal RNA, 305 nt
Filed under: uncultured bacterium
Lineage: Bacteria
Description: partial 16S ribosomal RNA
Rfam family: Bacterial small subunit ribosomal RNA
Source: RNAcentral
ACAGCAGCAGCCGCGGGAAUACGGAGGGUGCAAGCGUUAAUCGGAAUUACUGGGCGUAAAGCGUGCGUAGGCGGUUCGUUAAGUCUGUUGUGAAAGCCCCGGGCUCAACCUGGGAAUGGCAAUGGAUACUGGCGAGCUAGAGUGUGUCAGAGGAUGGUGGAAUUCCCGGUGUAGCGGUGAAAUGCGUAGAGAUCGGGAGGAACAUCAGUGGCGAAGGCGGCCAUCUGGGACAACACUGACGCUGAGGCACGAAAGCGUGGGGAGCAAACAGGAUUAGAUACCCCAGUAGUCCCUGUCUCUUAUAC